GCGCGAGUGGCGGAAUUGGUAGACGCGCUGGCUUCAGGUGCCAGUGUUCGCAAGAACGUGGGGGUUCAAGUCCCCCCUCGCGCA
Molecule: transfer RNA, 84 nt
Filed under: Micrococcus luteus
Lineage: Bacteria; Bacillati; Actinomycetota; Actinomycetes; Micrococcales; Micrococcaceae
Also listed under: 10 other names
Description: tRNA-Leu
Rfam family: tRNA
About the family: Transfer RNA (tRNA) molecules are approximately 80 nucleotides in length. Their secondary structure includes four short double-helical elements and three loops (D, anti-codon, and T loops).
Source: RNAcentral